UCUGGACGGGGGAUCACUCGCCUUGUCUGUCGAUGAAGAGCGCAGCCAACUGUGAGAACUGAUGUAAAUUGCAUGACUCAGUGAACAUCAACACCUCGAACACACAUUGAGGUCUCGAGAUCC
Non-coding RNA from Acanthosepion pharaonis, 123 nucleotides. Lineage: Eukaryota; Metazoa; Mollusca; Cephalopoda; Sepiida; Sepiidae. The record is from the annotation of a GenBank genome assembly.